UACGUAGGGUGCGAGUGUUGUCCGGAAUUAUUGGGCGUAAAGAGCUUGUAGGCGGUUUGUCGCGUCUGCUGUGAAAUCUCAAGGCUCAACCUUGAGCUUGCAGUGGGUACGGGCAGACUAGAGUGUGGUAGGGGAGACUGGAAUUCCUGGUGUAGCGGUGAAAUGCGCAGAUAUCAGGAGGAACACCGAUGACGAAGGCAGGUCUCUGGGCCACUACUGACGCUGAGAAGCGAAAGCAUGGGGAGCGAACAGG
RNAcentral lists this ribosomal RNA (253 nucleotides) under uncultured bacterium. RNAcentral's name for it is "partial 16S ribosomal RNA". It matches the Rfam family "Bacterial small subunit ribosomal RNA", at positions 524 to 776 of the family's 1533-position model. The record is from RNAcentral.